CACGUAGGAGGCGAGCGUUGUCCGGAAUCAUUGGGCGUAAAGAGCGCGCAGGCGGCUUGGCAAGUCGGGUGUGAAAUCCCGGGGCUCAACCCCGUGACUGCAUUCGAUACUGUCAGGCUAGAGGUAGGUAGGGGAGAUCGGAAUUCCUGGUGUAGCGGUGAAAUGCGCAGAUAUCAGGAGGAACACCGGUGGCGAAGGCGGUUCUCUGGGCCUGUACUGACGCUGAGGAGCGAAAGCGUGGGGAGCGAACAGG
This 253-nucleotide ribosomal RNA is filed under the name uncultured bacterium. RNAcentral describes it as "partial 16S ribosomal RNA". It matches the Rfam family "Bacterial small subunit ribosomal RNA", at positions 524 to 776 of the family's 1533-position model. The record is from RNAcentral.